This 253-nucleotide ribosomal RNA is filed under the name uncultured bacterium. Its description in RNAcentral is "partial 16S ribosomal RNA". It matches the Rfam family "Bacterial small subunit ribosomal RNA", at positions 524 to 776 of the family's 1533-position model. The record is from RNAcentral.
GACGGAGGGGGCAAGCGUUGUCCGGACUCACUGGGCGUAAAGGGUGCGUAGGCGGUCUCGCAAGUCUGGCGUGAAAGCCCAAGGCUCAGCCUUGGAAGUGCGCUCGAAACGGCGAGGCUGGAGUGCCGGAGGGGAGAGUGGAAUUCCCGGUGUAGCGGUGAAAUUCGUAGAUAUUCGGAAGAACACCAGUGGCGAAGGCGACUGACUGGACAGAUAUUGACGCUGAGGUGCGAAAGCGUGGGGAGCAAACAGG